RNAcentral lists this ribosomal RNA (728 nucleotides) under Triticum aestivum (bread wheat). RNAcentral describes it as "partial small subunit ribosomal RNA". Lineage: Eukaryota; Viridiplantae; Streptophyta; Magnoliopsida; Poales; Poaceae. The record is from RNAcentral.
GGGUUUUCUUGGUCUCGGCAAUGACGGGAAGGAUACACGCAACUUUGCUCGUCAGGUCGCCAUGGCUGAUCGUCCGCCGCCGCAGAAGCCACAGGGACACACUCAGUCCUACUCCAUUGAUCCCCACUGGUACAUGGACUCUGGGGCGACAGAGCACCUGACCAGUGAGAUGGGGAAGCUUCACACUCGUGAACCCUACCAUGGCUCCGACAAGAUCCACACCGCCAAUGGAGCAGGUAUGCACAUCUCUCAUAUUGGUCAAGCAUCACUUCUCACUAGACAUGCCAAUAGGAGUCUUCAACUUCGCAAUGUUCUUCGAGUUCCAUCUAUGACAUGUAAUCUUCUUUCAGUUCCUAAACUCACUCGUGAUAAUAAUGUGCUUUGUGAAUUUCAUCCUUUUGAUCUUUUUAUUAAGGAUCGGGGCACGAGGGACAUUCUUCUUAGUGGGCGGCUCUGCCAAGGUCUCUAUCGUCUGGAGCAUCCUGGCGUCGCUCGCGUCUUUAGUGGAGUUCGGGUAUCUCCGUCACAGUGGCAUGCUCGUCUUGGUCACCCGGCCACACCUAUUGUCCGGCAUGUUUUGCGUCGUCAUGAGCUUCCUAGUGUGUCUAGUAAUAAAGAUGUAGCAGUGUGUGAUGCUUGUCAGCAGGGGAAGAGUCAUCAACUUCCUUUUUCGGAGUCCAGUCGUGAGGUGAAACAUCCUUUAAAACUUGUGUUUUCAGAUGUAUGGG